RNAcentral lists this ribosomal RNA (497 nucleotides) under uncultured bacterium. RNAcentral's name for it is "partial 16S ribosomal RNA". It matches the Rfam family "Bacterial small subunit ribosomal RNA", at positions 28 to 507 of the family's 1533-position model. The record is from RNAcentral.
GAUGAACGCUGGCGGCGUGCCUAAUACAUGCAAGUCGAGCGAACGGACGAGAAGCUUGCUUCUCUGAUGUUAGCGGCGGACGGGUGAGUAACACGUGGAUAACCUACCUAUAAGACUGGGAUAACUUCGGAAAACCGGAGCUAAUACCGGAUAAUAUUUUGAACCGCAUGGUUCAAAAGUGAAAGACGGUCUUGCUGUCACUUAUAGAUGGAUCCGCGCUGCAUUAGCUAGUUGGUAAGGUAACGGCUUACCAAGGCAACGAUGCAUAGCCGACCUGAGAGGGUGAUCGGCCACACUGGAACUGAGACACGGUCCAGACUCCUACGGGAGGCAGCAGUAGGGAAUCUUCCGCAAUGGGCGAAAGCCUGACGGAGCAACGCCGCGUGAGUGAUGAAGGUCUUCGGAUCGUAAAACUCUGUUAUUAGUGAAGAACAUAUGUGUAAGUAACUGUGCACAUCUUGACGGUACCUAAUCAGAAAGCCACGGCUAACUACGUG